GAUGAACGCUGGCGGCGUGCUUAACACAUGCAAGUCGAACGAUGAAGCCCAGCUUGCUGGGUGGAUUAGUGGCGAACGGGUGAGUAACACGUGAGUAACCUGCCCUUGACUCUGGGAUAAGCCCGGGAAACUGGGUCUAAUACCGUAUAGGAGCGCCUGUCGCAUUACGGGUGCUGGAAAGAUUUUUCGGUCAUGGAUGGACUCGCGGCCUAUCAGCUUGUUGGUGAGGUAAUGGCUCACCAAGGCGACGACGGGUAGCCGGCCUGAGAGGGUGACCGGCCACACUGGGACUGAGACACGGCCCAGACUCCUACGGGAGGCAGCAGUGGGGAAUAUUGCACAAUGGGCGGAAGCCUGAUGCAGCGACGCCGCGUGAGGGAUGACGGCCUUCGGGUUGUAAACCUCUUUCAGUAGGGAAGAAGCGGAAGUGACGGUACCUGCAGAAGAAGCACCGGCUAACUACGUG
Molecule: ribosomal RNA, 466 nt
Filed under: uncultured bacterium
Lineage: Bacteria
Description: partial 16S ribosomal RNA
Rfam family: Bacterial small subunit ribosomal RNA
Source: RNAcentral